AAUCAACAAAAUCUCACAUCAACAUCACAUUUGCCGCAGGUCAUACAUAAACCUAGAGGUGAAGACUAUCCACGCAUUGUUUCAAGCUCAAAACUUGAAGCAAUCGUUCAAUCUUUUUGUAGACAUUGAAAUUUUGGUGAAAUAAAUGUUGAUCAAUAAUUAAAAUUUCAACGUUCACGUGUCACAUAAAUUUUACACAUAGCAUGUGACUCAACAAAAAAUCGAGAAUCAUCAGAAAAGUCAUCAAACAUGACACGUGUCAACACUUGGCAGAAAUGAUUUAUUUCAUCUGAUUAUUUAAAUCCAAAAAUCAAGUUUUGUAAGUCUAUAAAUAGGAAGCCAAGGCAUUCAUUUUGGGGCACCAAUUGAUAACCAAUUCACAUCGCACCAAAACCUUAAGGCUUUGAACUUCGAAGCUCCUAAGCAAAUCUCGAAGGAUCAAGAAAGCUCUCUUCGUUCUUUGUCAAAUCCUCAUUCAAGAUCAAGCCCCAAUGGCCCUUGAAGAACUUCCACCAAUUCA
This 520-nucleotide long non-coding RNA is filed under the name Malus domestica (apple). Its description in RNAcentral is "long non-coding RNA (MDOM_LNC008159)". Lineage: Eukaryota; Viridiplantae; Streptophyta; Magnoliopsida; Rosales; Rosaceae. The record is from RNAcentral.